UGGGGAAUAUUGGACAAUGGGCGAAAGCCUGAUCCAGCCAUGCCGCGUGUGUGAAGAAGGUCUUCGGAUUGUAAAGCACUUUAAGUUGGGAGGAAGGGCAUUAACCUAAUACGUUAGUGUUUUGACGUUACCGACAGAAUAAGCACCGGCUAACUCUUUGCCAGCAGCCGCGGUAAUACAGAGGGUGCAAGCGUUUAUCGGAAUUACUGGGCGUAAAGCGCGCGUAGGUGGUUUGUUAAGUUGGAUGUGAAAUCCCCGGGCUCAACCUGGGAACUGCAUUCAAAACUGACUGACUAGAGUAUGGUAGAGGGUGGUGGAAUUUCCUGUGUAGCGGUGAAAUGCGUAGAUAUAGGAAGGAACACCAGUGGCGAAGGCGACCACCUGGACUAAUACUGACACUGAGGUGCGAAAGCGUGGGGAGCAAACA
This 427-nucleotide ribosomal RNA is filed under the name uncultured bacterium. RNAcentral describes it as "partial 16S ribosomal RNA". It matches the Rfam family "Bacterial small subunit ribosomal RNA", at positions 355 to 774 of the family's 1533-position model. The record is from RNAcentral.